RNAcentral lists this long non-coding RNA (1077 nucleotides) under Zea mays. RNAcentral describes it as "long non-coding RNA (ZMAY_LNC004717)". The record is from RNAcentral. Lineage: Eukaryota; Viridiplantae; Streptophyta; Magnoliopsida; Poales; Poaceae.
GGCGGUGGCGCAAGAAGACGAGCCACCCUCCUCGCCUCCGGUGACCUCUACUCGCUGGCGAGCUUCUCUCUGGUAGGAUCCCUUCUCUUUCGUUAGAUCUGCUCUCUGCCUCUCUUUUGUUCGGCGUUGGACAGGCACAGGCAGCACCGUGCGCUGGGAUCCUCCUCGGCGCCGUGUAGCUUCCCAUAGACAUUGGAUAGGCACAGGCAGCACCGUGUGCUUGUGCUUCGAUCGUAGCUGUGUACAGGCGGAACAAGUGUACUCCACUUGAUUAUUAUGGCAUGCCUGGCUGCCACGCUCCUCUGCUGGCACAAGAAGAAGAAGAGGGGGAGGAAGGCAGAGGAGGAGGCCAAGGCCGAGGUGCUCAACUUCAGCGACCACGUCCACGUCCACGUCCACAAGCAGACCGUCCCAGGGCCGGCUGGGGGCGCGACCGCCGUCAGGCGGACGGUGGACGAGGAUGUCAGGUUCCAGGAGGCGGUCAGGAAGCAGGACACCAUCAGCGAGUCCUCGAGCACUGCCCCUUGGGCCUUGCACAAGAAACACGAGAGCGGAGAGGAGAGGAAGACGGAGGUCAUCAACGUCACCAAGCACAAGCACGUCGACGAGAAAUUUGGGAAAUGGAGUACAGUUGGGAGAAAUUUGGGAAAUGGAGUACAGUUGGGCUGCAAAUUCCUCCUCGGCCACCAGCACCACCUAGCUUCUUCUCUUCUCUCUCUCUCUACACCGCACCACAUGGUUAUAUGAACCAAAUAAUUUAUUUAUUUUCAGAUUGUCCCGGCUCCAGCUAGAGUAGGCGAGGAUGAGCCUCCCCCAUCCUGGGUGUUGGUGCCUGAUUCAUUUUAUCAAGGUACUAGCCAAAACCUAAAGAAAUUAAAUUAUAUGAACUACGUAACUAGCUUUAGUAAUUAGUUUUCCUUAUUUCUCUUGAUGUUACUUUUAGUUUUGCUACGGACAUGAGCAAUAGAGAUCACCUUAGGAGGAGGGAGGAUGAUGAUGAUGACCUCUUCCUUUUGAUUCUCCCUUCCCUACAUCUCUUGGGCUAUCUUGGAUGUAAUAAAAAGAAAUUGAGUGAAA